CAGAGUUUUCUAAACUCCCAAACCCAUGUGAACUUACCAUUGUUGCCUCGGCGGAGCCUACCCUGUAGCCACCCUAUAAGGUGGCUACCCUGUAGCGCCCCGCCGGUGGAUUUUCAAACUCUUGUUAUUUAUAGUAAUCUGAGAGUCUUAUUUUAAAUAAGUCA
Molecule: unclassified non-coding RNA, 164 nt
Filed under: uncultured fungus
Lineage: Eukaryota; Fungi
Description: sequence contains ITS1
Source: RNAcentral